ACGGGCCUUCAGGAGAUGCAGGCCUGGGGUAGUCUCCUUUCUGGACUGAGAAGAGAAGAAUGGAGAAGCCCCUCUUCCCAUUAGUGCCUUUGCAUUGGUUUGGCUUUGGCUACACAGCACUGGUUGUUUCUGGUGGGAUCGUUGGCUAUGUAAAAACAGCCGCUACAUCUGUUACUUUUGUUGGUAUUAUGGGAAUGAGAUCCUACUACUAUGGAAAAUUCAUGCCUGUAGGUUUAAUUGCAGGUGCCAGUUUGCUGAUGGCUGCCAAAGUUGGAGUUCGUAUGUUGAUGACAUCUGAUUAGCAGAAUCAGAUGUUCCAGCUUGGACUCAUGAAGGAUUAAAAAUCUGCAUCUUCCACUAUUUUCAAUGUAUUAAGAGAAAUAAGGAAUAUCUUUUCUUUUGCUCAUCUUAGA
This 413-nucleotide long non-coding RNA is filed under the name Homo sapiens (human). RNAcentral describes it as "HSALNT0163865". Lineage: Eukaryota; Metazoa; Chordata; Mammalia; Primates; Hominidae. The record is from RNAcentral.